AAUAAGAAAGGAACAGGAUCUCUUGCCAUUGGGUGUGAUGCGACUCUGCCCCUUAAAGUGAAUUUGGAGAUUCUACUGCG
Molecule: small nucleolar RNA, 80 nt
Filed under: Sorex araneus (European shrew)
Lineage: Eukaryota; Metazoa; Chordata; Mammalia; Eulipotyphla; Soricidae
Description: Small nucleolar RNA SNORA68 (ENSSARG00000018837.1)
Source: RNAcentral